CGGGCUAUAGCGCAGUUUGGUAGCGCGCCUGCUUUGGGAGCAGGAUGUUCCCAAAGCGUUGCGCUUGCGACACCCGAUAAGCCCUA
RNAcentral lists this transfer RNA (86 nucleotides) under Bifidobacterium longum subsp. longum. Its description in RNAcentral is "tRNA-Pro". Lineage: Bacteria; Bacillati; Actinomycetota; Actinomycetes; Bifidobacteriales; Bifidobacteriaceae. RNAcentral also lists the same sequence under 2 other names. The record is from RNAcentral.